Molecule: ribosomal RNA, 465 nt
Filed under: Vreelandella stevensii
Lineage: Bacteria; Pseudomonadati; Pseudomonadota; Gammaproteobacteria; Oceanospirillales; Halomonadaceae
Description: partial 16S ribosomal RNA
Rfam family: Bacterial small subunit ribosomal RNA
Source: RNAcentral
CCUACGGGUGGCUGCAGUGGGGAAUAUUGGACAAUGGGCGAAAGCCUGAUCCAGCCAUGCCGCGUGUGUGAAGAAGGCCUUCGGGUUGUAAAGCACUUUCAGUGGGGAAGAAAGCCUUGGGGCUAAUACCCUCGAGGAAGGACAUCACCCACAGAAGAAGCACCGGCUAACUCCGUGCCAGCAGCCGCGGUAAUACGGAGGGUGCGAGCGUUAAUCGGAAUUACUGGGCGUAAAGCGCGCGUAGGCGGUCUGAUAAGCCGGUUGUGAAAGCCCCGGGCUCAACCUGGGAACGGCAUCCGGACCUGUCAGGCUAGAGUGCAGGAGAGGAAGGUAGAAUUCCCGGUGUAGCGGUGAAAUGCGUAGAGAUCGGGAGGAAUACCAGUGGCGAAGGCGGCCUUCUGGACUGACACUGACGCUGAGGUGCGAAAGCGUGGGUAGCAAACAGGAUUAGAUACCCUAGUAGUC